UCAGCUUCUUUGCGGAUUUCGGCUCAGACCAAGGGGGUGAAGCAGUUCUUUUCAGCUUGAUCUCUGAAAGUGCCCUAUGGGGUUGCGCCAAAGAUGAGCCAGUUUUUGGAACCCGCCGGUUGGGGGGGGGGGGGGGGGGGGGGGGGCGGCUGGGCUCCGCCUAUCUUCCUGGACACAGUGUCGCUUUUAUUGCACUCCUUGGGGCUGACGCGAAGGUUG
This 219-nucleotide small nuclear RNA is filed under the name Macrophomina phaseolina MS6. RNAcentral's name for it is "U2 spliceosomal RNA". It matches the Rfam family "U2 spliceosomal RNA". From Rfam's summary of the family: U2 is a small nuclear RNA (snRNA) component of the spliceosome (involved in pre-mRNA splicing). Complementary binding between U2 snRNA (in an area lying towards the 5' end but 3' to hairpin I) and the branchpoint sequence (BPS) of the intron results the bulging out of an unpaired adenosine, on the BPS, which initiates a nucleophilic attack at the intronic 5' splice site, thus starting the first of two transesterification reactions that mediate splicing. Lineage: Eukaryota; Fungi; Ascomycota; Dothideomycetes; Botryosphaeriales; Botryosphaeriaceae. The record is from Rfam by way of RNAcentral.